RNAcentral lists this long non-coding RNA (1029 nucleotides) under Oryctolagus cuniculus (rabbit). RNAcentral describes it as "lncRNA (ENSOCUG00000031372.1)". Lineage: Eukaryota; Metazoa; Chordata; Mammalia; Lagomorpha; Leporidae. The record is from RNAcentral.
CAACCCCAUGGCCUCUCAUUUGCGGCUCCUGCCUCCUGUUUCCUGGGCUCCUGCGAAGCAAACCAGGCAACCCGAGUGGAGGCUGGGAGCAGACGCCUCCCCUGUCCCUGUCUCCUCUCCCUCCUCUCUGGCUUCCCCUGUGCCCUUCCUGUGCUGGCCAAGGAUAGAAGUGGGAGGCCCGCCCCCCUUCCCUCUGCUUCCCAGCCUUGCCUUGGGGUCUUGGCCACGCCUUCCUCCCUGUCCAGUUCCCAGGAGCACACGGGAGCCUGGCUGCCGGCCCAAGAGGAAGUGGUCCAGACAAGUAGCUGGGAGGAUGGCGUGACUGCCGAGGACACAGGGCUGUGCCCGGGCACACACACACACCAGCAACCCCAGGCUGGUGAGGCAGCUGCCCCUCCCGGAUGGGCAGGGUCCUACCUAGCCGUCAUCCCUACCCCCACACUCCCGACAGAACGUGCCAGCAACACCCUCUCCCUGUCUCCACCCCUCCCCCGCCAUCUCCUCCAGUCCCACCAGUGGCACUGCCCAUGUGGCCCCCACUGCCACCCUAAGCAUCGCCCUGUGUGUGGCCUGGCUCUCCAGAUGUCAUCACGUCCCCAUUGGCCUGGCCCGCGGGCACAGGCGGCCCCAGCCCCCAGACGCACGGCUCCCCUAGCAGGACUCCAGUCAUCACAGUGUAGCCACACAGCAGCUGGCUCCUCCAGCCACAGUCAGAUGAUUCACACGCUGAGACUCAUACCUGCCGUAUGGGGCUGGCGUGGGAACCUGGGCAUCAGUGUGCGGGCACUGCUGAGCCUGGAGACACCUCCAUCCAAGCCCCUGCGGGACCCCUGGGAACAGAGCCCUGCAGGGUCUUCCUGCUCCCUCAGAGCCGCACUAAGAGCCUGCGUCUCCCUCUGUGCCUUGUGGGAAGUUCGUUCUCUCCCCAUGAACUUGCGCAUCCAGCCAGGGCAGCUACUGGCCACACGGGACCCCAGGGCACUUGAAAUGUGGCUGGCGCAAAUGCAGUUGUGGGAAAGGCUUAAGUGA